This 500-nucleotide ribosomal RNA is filed under the name uncultured bacterium. Its description in RNAcentral is "partial 16S ribosomal RNA". It matches the Rfam family "Bacterial small subunit ribosomal RNA", at positions 30 to 523 of the family's 1533-position model. The record is from RNAcentral.
AUUGAACGCUGGCGGCAUGCUUUACACAUGCAGGUCGAACGGUAACAGGGUGCUUGCACCGCUGACGAGUGGCGAACGGGUGAGUAAUGCGUCGGAACGUGCCGAGUAGUGGGGGAUAACGCAGCGAAAGUUGUGCUAAUACCGCAUACGUACUGAGGUAGAAAGUGGGGGACCUUCGGGCCUCACGCUAUUCGAGCGGCCGACGUCUGAUUAGCUAGUAGGUGAGGUAAAGGCUCACCUAGGCGACGAUCAGUAGCGGGUCUGAGAGGAUGAUCCGCCACACUGGGACUGAGACACGGCCCAGACACCUACUGGAGGCAGCAGUGGGGAAUUUUGGACAAUGGGCGAAAGCCUGAUCCAGCCAUGCCGCGUGUCUGAAGAAGGCCUUCGGGUUGUAAAGGACUUUUGUCAGGGAGGAAAUCCCUAGUGCUAAUAACACUGGGGGAUGACAGUACCUGAAGAAUAAGCACCGGCUAACUACGUGCCAGCAGCCGCAGUAA